This 115-nucleotide ribosomal RNA is filed under the name Bremia lactucae (lettuce downy mildew). RNAcentral describes it as "partial 5.8S ribosomal RNA". It matches the Rfam family "5.8S ribosomal RNA", at positions 1 to 111 of the family's 154-position model. Rfam says of the family: 5.8S ribosomal RNA (5.8S rRNA) is a component of the large subunit of the eukaryotic ribosome. It is transcribed by RNA polymerase I as part of the 45S precursor that also contains 18S and 28S rRNA. Lineage: Eukaryota; Oomycota; Peronosporomycetes; Peronosporales; Peronosporaceae. The record is from RNAcentral.
UAGCAACUUUCAGCAGUGGAUGUCUAGGCUCGCACAUCGAUGAAGAACGCCGCGAACUGCGAUACGUAAUGCGAAUUGCACGAUUCAGUGAGUCAUCGAAAUUUUGAACGCAUAU